Molecule: non-coding RNA, 1054 nt
Organism: Paramuricea clavata
Lineage: Eukaryota; Metazoa; Cnidaria; Anthozoa; Malacalcyonacea; Plexauridae
Source: the annotation of a GenBank genome assembly
AAAUCGCCAUAGCUAUUAUCCUAACUCUAUUGAUAUGUGGAGUCACUCUUUAUUUUCUAUUUCCACGAAGUCCUACGAUACGGCUCGUUUCAAUUACGCAGUACAAUGCUUCAAUUCCAGACACGGGUGAUGCUUAUAUUUUAUUUAAGGUAUCAAGUUUUCCAUGUAUAUCAUCAAUUAAUUUUGUAUUUUAUAUUUUUUACAUAAAUUUACGUAGACAGGAGAGUGAGGUUGUCCCAUAUAUGAUUUGCACGAUAAGGCAUAUGCCAAGUUUUCAAUGUUCGUAAGCUUUCGCUUUGAUUGACCAUCGAAUUUUGUUCCAGAAAUCUUAGUUCGUUUCCCUCUUGAAUUAUUAAAUUUUGGCAAAUAAAGAACAGAAGUUUAAACUGCCCAAACAGAGGUAACAUUGCACAUCAUCGUGUAUUCCACAUCUUACAAUACAAAACUAAACCCUUGGAGUGGAGCACUAAAUGGAGGGUUUGUGGCCUUUAGCUUUGCCGGAUCAUUCUGAAAACAACUCCAUGCGAUUAAGGCUCUCUUAAAUAGCUAAUUUGUUAAUUAGUUAAGUAGUUAAGUGUUUGAAUCGACUUAGGUCCCAAAAAUGUACUCCCUUUUCCAUAUUUCCCAAUUCCCACUCUUUAAAGCUGUACCCUCCAUUUUUAGUAUAAAAUGCGUAUUUUGAAAAUUGAGUUAUAACCAUGUCUUUCGCACAAAAAGGUUAGAGAUCGGUUAUAGGGUGGUGUUUAGGUCAAAACCAAAAUUAAUUAUUCGUGCCCGAAAAAUGAGAAUAUUGCGAAGAAUUCGACCCCCUCCCCCCCCCCCCCCCUCCUUCAAGAUCUACAAAAAGUUAAAACGUUACACAUAUUGAACAGUCUUCAACAUUAUUUUCUUUGAUUUUAACAUGUAGAAUCACUAUGCUGUGAAAAACGAGAACUUUGUAUCAGUGGAUUUGACAUCAAUAUCACUUACUGUAACAUUCCAUAAGGUUCAAGUUGCAGGUCCAGAUCCAUUCUAUAAAUUUGGAACAAAGACAGUUGAUCUUCGUUCUUCUAUC